AGUGAACGCUGGCGGUAGGCCUAACACAUGCAAGUCGAACGGCAGCACAGUAAGAGCUUGCUCUUACGGGUGGCGAGUGGCGGACGGGUGAGGAAUACAUCGGAAUCUACUUUUUCGUGGGGGAUAACGUAGGGAAACUUACGCUAAUACCGCAUACGACCUACGGGUGAUAGCAGGGGAUCUUCGGACCUUGCGCGAUUGGAUGAGCCGAUGUCGGAUUAGCUAGUUGGCGGGGUAAAGGCCCACCAAGGCGACGAUCCGUAGCUGGUCUGAGAGGAUGAUCAGCCACACUGGAACUGAGACACGGUCCAGACUCCCACGGGAGGCAGCAGUGGGGAAUAUUGGACAAUGGGCGCAAGCCUGAUCCAGCCAUACCGCGUGGGUGAAGAAGGCCUUCGGGUUGUAAAGCCCUUUUGUUGGGAAAGAAAAGCAGCAGGUUAAUACCCCGCUGUUCUGACGGUACCCAAAGAAUAAGCACCGGCUAACUUCGUG
RNAcentral lists this ribosomal RNA (492 nucleotides) under uncultured bacterium. RNAcentral's name for it is "partial 16S ribosomal RNA". It matches the Rfam family "Bacterial small subunit ribosomal RNA", at positions 29 to 507 of the family's 1533-position model. The record is from RNAcentral.